UUUUUGUUUCUUUGUUGUUGAUGAGUAAUAUAUAGUUUCUGAAUACUGAGAAGUUAGUCUGGAGUGUCAAACUGUCAGAGUUAUAAGUCGAGAUAUUAAAUUUUGUGUGAUGAAUUGAAAAACUGAAUACAAUAGGUAAGUUGGAGAACAGUAAUUGAAUAUAUAUAAACCACAAAGAGAAUAAGUGGGAGAUGAACGCAUAAGAAUAUGGAAGUAUUGUUGAAUUGAUAGUCAUAGAAUGGAUUAUGGGUUGAAUUAAGAUGAAAGUAGUAAGCCUUGGUAUUUUAUAGUUUGAUAAUUGAUUUUAGAUAGCCAGAGUACAGUCAAUUGUAAUACUAAUAGAUCUAAUUAAUAUAACCAAUCUUUUCUCGUAUUCGAACCCACCUCUAUUAGUUCAAUUACUUUGGUAUAUUGAAGCUUGAACACAAUGAGAAUAAUAUUUUGGUGACACUGUCGGAGAAAUAAUAACAAUAUGAAAUGUUAGAAAUUGAUUGUAUGGGAGAUGGAAUUA
RNAcentral lists this long non-coding RNA (511 nucleotides) under Physcomitrium patens. RNAcentral describes it as "long non-coding RNA (PPAT_LNC005027)". Lineage: Eukaryota; Viridiplantae; Streptophyta; Bryopsida; Funariales; Funariaceae. The record is from RNAcentral.